This 254-nucleotide ribosomal RNA is filed under the name uncultured bacterium. RNAcentral describes it as "partial 16S ribosomal RNA". It matches the Rfam family "Bacterial small subunit ribosomal RNA", at positions 524 to 776 of the family's 1533-position model. The record is from RNAcentral.
CACGUAGGCACCAAGCGUUGUCCGGAUUUAUUGGGCGUAAAGAGCUCGUAGGCGGUUCGGUAAGUCGGGUGUGAAAACUUUGGGCUCAACCCAAAGCCUGCACUCGAUACUGCUGUGACUUGAGUCCGGUAGGGGAGUGGGGAAUUCCUGGUGUAGCGGUGGAAUGCGCAGAUAUCAGGAGGAACACCAAUUGCGAAGGCAGCUCGCUGGGACGUUACUGACGCUGAGACGCGAAAGCGUGGGGAGCAAACAGG